Molecule: ribosomal RNA, 300 nt
Filed under: uncultured Methanosarcina sp.
Lineage: Archaea; Methanobacteriati; Methanobacteriota; Methanomicrobia; Methanosarcinales; Methanosarcinaceae
Description: bacterial SSU rRNA
Rfam family: Bacterial small subunit ribosomal RNA
Source: RNAcentral
AGAAAAGGGGGGAGUGCUGGCGCUGGAAGACGUUGGGGGCAAGCGUGAAUCGGAAGGACGGGGGUUAAAGGGUGAGCAGGCGGUUAUAUAAGAAAGAUGUGAAAUCCCCGGGCUCAAGCGGGGAACUGCAUUUGGGACUGUAUGGCUAGAGUACGGCAGAGGGGGAUGGAACUCCGCGUGUAGCAGUGAAAUGCGUAGAUAUGCGGAGGAACACCGAUGGCGAAGGCAAUCCCCUGGGCCUGUACUGACGCUCAUGCACGAAAGCGUGGGGAGCAAACAGGAUUAGAUACCCCUGUAGUC